CCUACGGGAGGCAGCAGUGAGGAAUAUUGGUCAAUGGCCGGAAGGCUGAACCAGCCAAGCCGCGUGAAGGACGAAGGUGCCAAGCAUUGUAAACUUCUUUUGUCAAGGGACAAAAUCAGGCUCGAGAGCCUGACCGCGGGUACUUGAAGAAAAAGCAUCGGCUAACUCCGUGCCAGCAGCCGCGGUAAUACGGAGGAUGCGAGCGUUAUCCGGAUUUAUUGGGUUUAAAGGGUGCGUAGGCGGGCUAUUAAGUCAGCGGUAAAAGCCCGGGGCUCAACCCCGGUGAGCCGUUGAAACUGGCUGUCUUGAGAUGGCGGGAGGUAUGCGGAAUGCGCAGGGUAGCGGUGAAAUGCUUAGAUAUGGCGCAGAAGUCCGAUUGCGAAGGCAGCAUACCGGCGGCGAUCUGACGCUGAGGCACGAAAGCGUGGGUAUCGAACAGGAUUAGAUACCCGGGUAGUC
RNAcentral lists this ribosomal RNA (459 nucleotides) under uncultured bacterium. Its description in RNAcentral is "partial 16S ribosomal RNA". It matches the Rfam family "Bacterial small subunit ribosomal RNA", at positions 338 to 795 of the family's 1533-position model. The record is from RNAcentral.